CCUACGGGCGGCUGCAGUGAGGAAUAUUGGUCAAUGGGCGAGAGCCUGAACCAGCCAAGUCGCGUGAGGGAGUACUGCCCUACGGGUUGUAAACUUCUUUUAUAAAGGAAUAAAGUGAGGCACGUGUGCCUUUUUGUAUGUACUUUAUGAAUAAGGAUCGGCUAACUCCGUGCCAGCAGCCGCGGUAAUACGGAGGAUCCGAGCGUUAUCCGGAUUUAUUGGGUUUAAAGGGAGCGUAGAUGGGUUGUUAAGUCAGUUGUGAAAGUUUGCGGCUCAACCGUAAAAUUGCAGUUGAAACUGGCAGUCUUGAGUACAGUAGAGGUGGGCGGAAUUCGUGGUGUAGCGGUGAAAUGCUUAGAUAUCACGAAGAACUCCGAUUGCGAAGGCAGCUCACUGGACUGCAACUGACACUGAGGCUCGAAAGUGUGGGUAUCAAACAGGAUUAGAUACCCCAGUAGUC
RNAcentral lists this ribosomal RNA (460 nucleotides) under uncultured bacterium. Its description in RNAcentral is "partial 16S ribosomal RNA". It matches the Rfam family "Bacterial small subunit ribosomal RNA", at positions 338 to 795 of the family's 1533-position model. The record is from RNAcentral.